RNAcentral lists this ribosomal RNA (486 nucleotides) under uncultured bacterium. Its description in RNAcentral is "partial 16S ribosomal RNA". It matches the Rfam family "Bacterial small subunit ribosomal RNA", at positions 28 to 507 of the family's 1533-position model. The record is from RNAcentral.
GAUGAACGCUAGCGGCAGGCUUAACACAUGCAAGUCGAGGGGCAGCGCGGGAUAGCAAUAUCCUGGCGGCGACCGGCGGAAGGGUGCGUAACGCGUGAGCGACAUGCCCGUUGCCCGGGGACAACCGGUGGAAACGCCGACUAAUCCCCGAUGGGAUAUUGUGCCGCAUGGCACGAUAUUGAAAGUUACGGCGGCGACGGAUUGGCUCGCGUCCGAUUAGCUUGUUGGCGGGGUAACGGCCCACCAAGGCUGCGAUCGGUAGGGGUUCUGAGAGGAAGGCCCCCCACAAUGGGACUGAGACACGGCCCAUACUCCUACGGGAGGCAGCAGUGAGGAAGAUUGGUCAAUGGGCGGAAGCCUGAACCAGCCAUGCCGCGUGCGGGAAGGAGGCCCUAUGGGCUGUGAACCGCUUUUGCCUGGGGGCAAUAAGGGCGUCGCGCACGUCCGAUGAGAGUACCAGGCGAAUAAGCAUCGGCUAACUCCGUG